GAUGAACGCUAGCUACAGGCUUAACACAUGCAAGUCGAGGGGAAACGACAUCGAAAGCUUGCUUUUGAUGGGCGUCGACCGGCGCACGGGUGAGUAACGCGUAUCCAACCUGCCCACCACUUGGGGAUAACCUUGCGAAAGUAAGACUAAUACCCGAUGAUAUCUCUAGAAGACAUCUGAAAGAGAUUAAAGAUUUAUCGGUGAUGGAUGGGGAUGCGUCUGGUUAGCUUGUUGGCGGGGUAACGGCCCACCAAGGCGACGAUCAGUAGGGGUUCUGAGAGGAAGGUCCCCCACAUUGGAACUGAGACACGGUCCAAACUCCUACGGGAGGCAGCAGUGAGGAAUAUUGGUCAAUGGGCGAGAGCCUGAACCAGCCAAGUAGCGUGCAGGAUGACGGCCCUAUGGGUUGUAAACUGCUUUUAUAAGGGAAUAAAGUGAGCCUCGUGAGGCUUUUUGCAUGUACCUUAUGAAUAAGGACCGGCUAAUUCCGUGCCAGCCGCCGCGGUAA
This 508-nucleotide ribosomal RNA is filed under the name uncultured bacterium. Its description in RNAcentral is "partial 16S ribosomal RNA". It matches the Rfam family "Bacterial small subunit ribosomal RNA", at positions 28 to 523 of the family's 1533-position model. The record is from RNAcentral.